CCUACGGGUGGCAGCAGUGGGGAAUAUUGGGCAAUGGGCGCAAGCCUGACCCAGCAACGCCGCGUGAAGGAAGAAGGCUUUCGGGUUGUAAACUUCUUUUGACAGGGAAGAGCAGAAGACGGUACCUGUCGAAUAAGACACGGCUCACUACGUGCCAGCAGCCGCGGUAAUACGGAGGUGGCAAGCGUUGUCCGGAUUUACUGGGUGUAAAGGGCGUGUAGCCGGGCUGACAAGUCAGAUGUGAAAUCUGGGGGCUCAACCCCCGAACUGCAUUUGAAACUGUUGGUCUUGAGUAUCGGAGAGGCAGGCGGAAUUCCUGGUGUAGCGGUGAAAUGCGUAGAUAUUAGGAGGAACACCGGUGGCGAAGGCAGCCUGCUGGACGACAACUGACGGUGAGGCGCGAAAGCGUGGGGAGCAAACAGGAUUAGAUACCCUAGUAGUC
This 442-nucleotide ribosomal RNA is filed under the name uncultured bacterium. Its description in RNAcentral is "partial 16S ribosomal RNA". It matches the Rfam family "Bacterial small subunit ribosomal RNA", at positions 338 to 795 of the family's 1533-position model. The record is from RNAcentral.